Molecule: long non-coding RNA, 337 nt
Filed under: Homo sapiens (human)
Lineage: Eukaryota; Metazoa; Chordata; Mammalia; Primates; Hominidae
Description: non-protein coding lnc-CTU1-1:1
Source: RNAcentral
GGGCCUGACUAUCUGCUGCUGAGGGGCAAUCCUGAUGCCUUCAAUGGCAUCGUGACGGCUGAGAUCGGCUCCCAGGUGGAAAUGGAGUGUGUCUCCUAUUCUUUCCCAGAUCUCAAGUACUGCUGGAUCCACAACAGCUCCUUCCUAAACUUCUCAUAUGCAAAGUUGUAUCUCUUGAGUCUGGCCUGGUAGCAGAUGGGCACUUACCAAUGCACUGUGGAAAACCCCGUGACACAGCUGAUCAUGUACAUGGACGUCAGGAUCCAGGCCCCCCGUGAGUGCAGCAGCUCCCGUCCAGGCUCAUGCUCUGCACAUCUCCCUGCCUCCAUGCCCUGCU